Molecule: ribosomal RNA, 253 nt
Filed under: uncultured bacterium
Lineage: Bacteria
Description: partial 16S ribosomal RNA
Rfam family: Bacterial small subunit ribosomal RNA
Source: RNAcentral
UACGAAGGGGGCUAGCGUUGCUCGGAAUCACGGGGCGUAAAGGGUGCGUAGGCGGGUCUUUAAGUCAGGGGUGAAAUCCUGGAGCUCAACUCCAGAACUGCCUUUGAUACUGAGGAUCUUGAGUUCGGGAGAGGUGAGUGGAACUGCGAGUGUAGAGGUGAAAUUCGUAGAUAUUCGCAAGAACACCAGUGGCGAAGGCGGCUCACUGGCCCGAUACUGACGCUGAGGCACGAAAGCCAGGGGAGCAAACGGG